Molecule: ribosomal RNA, 792 nt
Filed under: uncultured archaeon
Lineage: Archaea
Description: bacterial SSU rRNA
Rfam family: Archaeal small subunit ribosomal RNA
Source: RNAcentral
GCUCAGUAACACGUGGAUAACCUACCCUUAGGACUGGGAUAACCUUGGGAAACUGAGGACAAUACUGGAUAGGCAAUUAUUCCUGUAAUGGUUUUUUGUUUAAAUGUUUUUUCGCCUAAGGAUGGGUCUGCGGCCGAUUAGGUAGUUGGUUAGGUAAUGGCUUACCAAGCCGUUGAUCGGUACGGGUUGUGAGAGCAAGAGCCCGGAGAUGGAACCUGAGACAAGGUUCCAGGCCCUACGGGGUGCAGCAGGCGCGAAACCUCCGCAAUGUGAGAAAUCGCGACGGGGGGAUCCCAAGUGCCAUUCUUAACGGGAUGGCUUUUCAUUAGUGUAAAGAGCUUUUGGAAUAAGAGCUGGGCAAGACCGGUGCCAGCCGCCGCGGUAACACCGGCAGCUCUAGUGGUAGCAAUUUUUAUUGGGCCUAAAGCGUCCGUAGCCGGUUUAAUAAGUCUCUGGUGAAAUCCUGUAGCUUAACUGUGGGAAUUGCUGGAGAUACUAUUAGACUUGAGACCGGGAGAGGUUAGAGGUACUCCCAGGGUAGAGGUGAAAUUCUGUAAUCCUGGGAGGACCGCCUGUUGCGAAGGCGUCUAACUGGAACGGUUCUGACGGUGAGGGACGAAAGUUAGGGGCGCGAACCGGAUUAGAUACCCGGGUAGUCCUAACUGUAAACGAUGCGGACUUGGUGUUGGGGUGGCUUUGAGCUGCUCCAGUGCCGAANGGAAGCUGUUAAGUCCGCCGCCUGGGAAGUACGGUCGCAAGACUGAAACUUAAAGGAAUUGGCGGGGGAAGCAC